Dermochelys coriacea (leatherback sea turtle) is the source of this 1509-nucleotide long non-coding RNA. RefSeq lists it as uncharacterized. The record is from RefSeq and is a predicted model, not a curated record. Lineage: Eukaryota; Metazoa; Chordata; Testudines; Dermochelyidae. The transcript has 4 exons.
CCUCCCUGCUGUCAGCAUGGGGUUUGGGGAAAAAUACAGGAUGAAGGAUAAAGAAAAGAAAAUGAAGGAGCUAACUAACUACGACAGGGAAAACAGGUAAAAUGACCAUGCUCAUCAUUCGUCGAGAGAAUUAAUUCUCCUCUCCUCACUAAAGGCAUAGGGCUUUGGAAAGGCACAGAUGGAGGAACUCUGGAUCAUCUGAAGAGAGAUUGGCAAGUCUGUGUUACUAAACUGGCAUCAUCCCAGGAAACUUGAGUAAUAGCAUAAUGAGUGGAAAAGGAAUGCACAGACAAGCAUGUUGCUGUCUUUCAUACAACAGCUACUGGAACAUUGCUGAGAAAAGCUGAUGAAGUGGACUGAGCCCCAGUGGAGUGAGCUAUUAUUCUUGGUGGAGGAGACAUUUUAGCAAGAUUGUAGCAGAGCUUAAUGCAGUCAGAAAUCCAGUGAGAUUUGCCAAGACAACGCUGAUUGACCCUGGGCAUAAAGACUUGGACAGGGAGAGAUCUAUCCUCUUUGGAGUGGACUUAGAGGGGAAAUCUGCUUCUCUGCUUAUGAGCGCAUACUCUGCUGCUGUGAGGAGCCCCUGGUGAAGGGUCCAUAGGCAUAUUCUCCAUUGCUACUGCAUCAGACUUCACGCCAGGAGGCAGACUCCUUGACGAGACUGGCUCAUAUAUAGGGGGUUUUCUUGACUUGAGUCUGACUGGGGCUUCGUAGCCUUUUCCAUGAGGAGUUUUUUAAGCCGGAAUUCUCGCACUUGUAGGAUCUAGCUAGGAAAGGAGCGAAAGAUACUGCAUCUGGAAGAUGGCAGGCACUUCCCCAAAGAAGUACAGGCAGCGCUGGUGGUUGUCACUGACCAGGAAGGUGCAAGUACAGGAGAUGCAGCUUUUAAAGCCAGAUAAUCUAGGCAUAAUCUAAUUUACAUACUGGGAUGCACAUGAGUCCCCAGGGAGGGGAUUUAACUAUCCAUUAGCUAUAUUAAUAGAACUAUUAAAAACAUUAACUAUACGAAAGAUAAAACUGGUAAACUUUUAAAUAGUUACAGGUUUUAAGGAUCAGGCUGAAGAGAAAGAAGCAGGUCUGGACACUGGCGAUUCACACUUAGGCCAUGUGGUGGUAAGAAGGAACUAAAGAGGUGAUCAGUCCUCCCCAUCCCUUAUAUACUUGGUGCAGAGCAUGAAGAGAGUAGGAGCACAGGCGCUGACCUAUGGACACUGCUUUCAAAAAUUCUCUAGUCUAAGGUGCAUGCACACUCACAAUAGAAUAUACAUAGGACCAGCACUCAAAGAAGAACUUGCUUUUCAGCCUUCCACUCCCAUCACAAUUGUGUGCACAAGAAAGCAGAGUAUAGCUGCUGUUCCUUUUCAGCCACAUUCAAUCAGUAGUUAUGUAUAUUUGCUCCCCUUUAUACCAUGCUACAGCACACAUAUUGUACAUUUAUGGGUGCACACACUAUAUAGUAAUUUAGCUCACCAACAAGAUGUUUUAGAGUUCUCCUUUCUUACCAAUCUA